Molecule: long non-coding RNA, 1250 nt
Organism: Motacilla alba alba
Lineage: Eukaryota; Metazoa; Chordata; Aves; Passeriformes; Motacillidae
Exons: 3
Source: RefSeq, a predicted model, not a curated record
GGGGACGGGGAGCGCCGCUGGGAGAGAGCGGGAGGCGUCAUGUGUCCGGCACUUCUGAACGCCAGUGUGAGGGAGGUGUCAGUGAGCUUAACAAACGGAAACAGAAACCUGGGAAGCCGCAAAAUCCGCUUCAGGAAAGUACAGCAGGAAGGAUUCGAGAAGUGAGCAGCAUCCCAACACUGUUCUCAAGAUAACUUGAAAGAAACAAACAGCACCUCGACUGAGCUGCAAAUAUAGAGCAAUCUCUAUGGAAAUACAACCUUCAGGUGGCCCAAGAUCCUCACAAGAGCUCUGUGGUCUGGGGCAGGCAUGAAAAACAACAGAUUCUUUUCCCGUGCUGAUGCAGCCUGUGAUGGUCUCCAGCAUCCCAGAAUUGACCAUCUUGUACAGAAGUAAACGUGUUUUCGGAUCCACUGCUUUCUCCUACAAGAGAUUAUUAAAAUGAAUAGGCAAGACAUGAAUAGUCUUUACCAUGAGUUUAAAAUACUUAUAUACCACAAGAGCUCAACUAAGUGGAAAGAAUAAUAGAAGGAAGAAAAAACAAAGCCAAAAUAAACAUCUGAAGCAAAGCAAAUCUUUUUCAGGACUGAUUUAAUGAUUUAAUACUCUUAGUUUCCCAUCAGCUGUGCAGCACUAGAAUAUUUUACUAAUUGCACACAUAGACUGAGGCUCAACAACACUUUCUACAGUGUUUUCAAGAAGCCUUUAUAAAUCAUGAAUCACAAUAUCCCAAGUAUUAUAUUUCUUUAAUAUAAGUAACAAUAAAGCAAAGCAAAAGACACAAACUUGAAGAAGUCCACAUCAGGAAUUACCAGAGGCCCUACUUCAAACUCAUCCAUACAGUCUGCCAAGUAAACUCCUAAAUUAUUAGGUCAGUUGGUCACCUCAUCCUCGUGAAACUUGUUAUGACGACAGAUAUUUGGAGCCAUGUGGUUCAACUGCAGAGGAUUAGUCCCCUGGAUAUUUCUAUAAAUAACUUCCAGGCAGUUUAUUCAACGUAGCUGAUUAAGAGACAAGUUUAGAAAGACAAAGAGAAACAAACAGUAGCUGCUUGCUCUUACUUCAACAUGGUUCUCACAGUAAUGCAGCUCAAACAAACAGCCUUUUUCUAGUAGGAGCUGGCUGAUACCGUUUCCUUCAGCAAUGUUAACAAUGUUGCUUAGCUGUUUUACUAAAAAUGGAAUGCUGCAAGAAGGUACCCAGAAUUUAGCUAUUACACAAGAUAAGGAGUAGAAAGAGAGACUUUUUUA